GACGAACGCUGGCGGCGUGCUUAACACAUGCAAGUCGAGCGAGGUCCAACCGGUGGCAACACCGGGGAAGACCUAGCGGCGAACGGGUGAGUAACACGUGGGAAACCUGCCCCGAAGUUCGGGAUAACCCGGGGAAACCCGAGCUAAUACCGGAUACCCACGAUUGGUCGCAUGGCCGAUCGUGGAAAGAACUUCGCUUCGGGAGGGUCUCGCGGCCUAUCAGCUUGUUGGUGGGGUAACGGCCCACCAAGGCAUCGACGGGUAGCUGGUCUGAGAGGACGAUCAGCCACACUGGGACUGAGACACGGCCCAGACUCCUACGGGAGGCAGCAGUGGGGAAUCUUGCGCAAUGGGCGAAAGCCUGACGCAGCAACGCCGCGUGCGGGAUGAAGGCCUUCGGUUGUAAACCGCUUUCAGUAGGACGAAAUUGACGGUACCUACAGAAGAAGCCCGGCC
Molecule: ribosomal RNA, 456 nt
Filed under: uncultured bacterium
Lineage: Bacteria
Description: bacterial SSU rRNA
Rfam family: Bacterial small subunit ribosomal RNA
Source: RNAcentral